This 305-nucleotide ribosomal RNA is filed under the name uncultured bacterium. RNAcentral describes it as "bacterial SSU rRNA". It matches the Rfam family "Bacterial small subunit ribosomal RNA", at positions 333 to 635 of the family's 1533-position model. The record is from RNAcentral.
UGCAUCCUACGGGACGCAGCAGUGAGGAAUAUUGGUCAAUGGCCGAGAGGCUGAACCAGCCACGUCGCGUGAGGGAUGACGGCUCUACGGGUUGUGAACCUCUUUUGUCGGGGAGCAAGACCCGCCUCGUGCAGGCGGAGCGAGAGUACCCGAAGAAAAAGCAUCGGCUAACUCCGUGCCAGCAGCCGCGGUAAUACGGAGGAUGCGAGCGUUAUCCGGAUUUAUUGGGUUUAAAGGGUGCGCAGGCGGACCAUCAAGUCAGCGGUAAAAUCGUGGGGCCCAACCCCAUCCCGCCGUUGAAACUG